Molecule: ribosomal RNA, 322 nt
Filed under: uncultured eukaryote
Lineage: Eukaryota
Description: partial 18S ribosomal RNA
Rfam family: Eukaryotic small subunit ribosomal RNA
Source: RNAcentral
CCCUUAGACGUUCUGGGCCGCACGCGUGCUACACUGAGUGGAUCAGCGGGUCAGGUUGCGCGAAAGUGUUUCCUAAUCUUUAAAUCCGCUCGUGAUGGGGAUUGACGGUUGCAAUUUUCCGUCAUGAACGAGGAAUACCUUGUAAGCGCGGGUCAUCAUCCCGCGCUGAAUACGUCCCUGCCCUUUGUACACACCGCCCGUCGCUCCUACCGAUUGAGUGGUCCGGUGAGGCUUUGGGAUCUGAGCGGAAAGAGCGUUUCGCUGUUUCUGCCCGGAAAACUCAGUCGAACCUUAUCAUUUAGAGGAAGGAGAAGUCGUAACA